Nelumbo nucifera (sacred lotus) is the source of this 645-nucleotide non-coding RNA. Lineage: Eukaryota; Viridiplantae; Streptophyta; Magnoliopsida; Proteales; Nelumbonaceae. The record is from RefSeq and is a predicted model, not a curated record.
UAUCCUUUUGUUAAUUGGUGGCGAUAUAGCGAUGUUUCAAUUAGUGAUUGGGUUUAACCUUGAGAUUUGCCUAACUAAGAGAUUCUUAAAUCAAUAUUGUAUUUUUUGCGAGAUUUCUUUGUCAUUUGGGAGUUGGGUUAUCGCCAGACAACCUACAUUGGGCGGAUAUUGACUCAGAAUAAGUUUUCCUAGUUUCCUAUAUUUUUCAGUUUUAUGAAAUUCUCAUCUUUUUUUAUUUCCUUUCGUUUAUAUGGAGAUGUACAUUGCAAUUGUAUUAUGAAUUUACAGGAUUAGGGUGGUUGAUUUGAGUCAGACACGGCUAUUUGGUGGUCUAUCUCUUUGGGAGGUUUUCAUCUCUAUAAAAAUUCAGAAGAUCAGGGAGGUUGAUUUUAGUUGGAGGUGGCUACUCGUAUGUAUAUGUCAUAAGGGCUUUUUUAUGCUCAUGAAUAUCCGACUGUAUGUUUACAAACAUGAAGAUCAUUGGCGAGAGUUAUGUGAGAUUUACUUGCGUUGUCAUUGCUUGUUGGGUGGCGGUGUGACAUUGAUAGAAAGAAUGUUGAGGUUGGGCGAAGGUUUUUAGAUUUUGUUAGUCCACCUUCAUUUUGUAAAUUAAAGUGGAUCUAGUGAUCUUUAAAUCAGUUUUAA